Molecule: long non-coding RNA, 8548 nt
Organism: Columba livia (rock pigeon)
Lineage: Eukaryota; Metazoa; Chordata; Aves; Columbiformes; Columbidae
Exons: 6
Source: RefSeq, a predicted model, not a curated record
CAGAAAGGGGCGGAGGCGGACGGACGAACCGCCGGGAGACAAAGAGGCCCCGGCUCUCCCGGGGCAGCCCCGCUGCGAAAAGAACGGGCGAGGCGGCAGCAGGAGGCGGCGGCGUCUCCUCGGCCCCGAGCACAGGGGAGAGAAACCUGCCGGCCGGAGCUCCUUCGGGCUCUGUCUGUUCACAAUGAAUUUAUGGGGGAUCCGUCCGGCAGUCGGUGGCCCGCGGUCGCUCGGCAACAGCAGAAGCGGAUUGAAGGGACCGGCCGCUGGAGGAUGCCGAAGCCUCCCGGGUCAGCGGUGGGAGCAGCUUUGCGUAAAGCGAGGGGUACGUGAAGCCGGGCGUGCGGUGCCGACCGCCCAGCAGGUAAGGGAAGCUAAAGCUUUACCUCCAGGGACUUCUGCCCAGAAAGCUGAAGCAAUUGCUCUCGCGUGAGCUGUAGAGUUACGCAAAGAGAAGAAGAUUAGUGGCUGCACUGAUUCUAAGCAGGUUUCUUGAAGGGUGCGGGCCCUUGAAGCCGUUUGAAAAGAAUAAAGUGUAUUAACGGCACAAGGGAGGCAGAUUAAACGUGAUGCUCCGGUUGCUGGAAGCUGUGCUGUUGCUAGGAGAGUUGCCGUCACGCGUUGCAACGGGCCUCAAAAGGGAAACGCUGCUCAGGAAACUGGCCAUAAAUUGGCAGGCGCCGCUGUCAAACCAGCCGCCGAAAGGACAGAGACCGGUACGGAAGCCGCGUCUCUGAGCCCAGGUGGCCGUGUCCUCCAGCCAACGUCAGGAAACUGUAACAAAGAGGAUAAGCAAUUAAUAGGAGAUUAAUAGCCCGAUCAGAAUUAGGGUCCAAAGGAGCCGUCACCGGCGACGGGAGAGCAGCGGCGCCUCGCGGCGCGAGGAGCUGACGCGCUCUGUCGAGAUCGGACGAACAGGUAAGAGCGAAUUUAGAAGCUCUGUGCGAACGAGGCAAUGGGAAACGUGCCUAGAAAACCGUCUUGAUAGUGCACACGGGGUACAGACAAGAGCAGCCGGACGAGGGAAACGUACCAGGACGACGCUGGCAAAGGGAGUUCUCCGAGCUGCCUGGAAAAGGGGGGUGUCGAUACCGGCCGGCACGAACGGCUCCCUUCUCGGGUCGGCCGGAAGCGUUGCCGUGCCGGGGGGCGGCUGCCGGCCUGCGGGCCGGGGCUGCGGCUGUUUGGGGCGCUGCCCCCGCUUUGUUUUCCUCGGGGAGCCCCCCCACGCUCGGGGGCUUGUGGGACGUGCACGUGCGAAUGACACGGUGUUCCCAGCUGCUCUGUUCUCUGCCUUGUUUUUCCAGACGCCUGUCCCUGUUUUCUCUUCCCGCUUUUGAAGAGAAGCUGCCGAGUCAGCGUACGCUGCGGUGAAGUUCUACAAGAUGCGGCCCUCAGGAACCGGUUGACGUGAGGGAAAUGCUUUCUGACCGCCUGCGCGGUGAGGGGACGUUUUUCACCUUUUAGCUCCUUCUGCACGACAAGAGGGAGACGGAAGGUUAAGUAACACGUUGUUUAGGAGCUGAGAGCUUAGUUUGUAUUUAACUAAUAAUUAAGAGACGUGUUGUCAGCGAGAAACUAAAUGAUUACAACUAACCUCAUCAAAUGAAGUAAAGACAGGCCAGCCAGGCGUGGUGGUGGAGUUGCUCUCUAUGUGAGAGAGCAGCUACAGUGUACUAAAUUCUGCCCAGGAGCGGAUGAGGAGCGAGUUGAGAGUGUAUGGGUCAGGAUCAAGGGGCAGGCUGGCAGGGGUGACACUGCUGUGGGCGUCUGUUACAGGCCACCAGAUCAGGCUGAGGAAGUUGAUGAGGCCUUCUAUGGGCAGCUGAGAGCGGCCUCACGGUCACAGGCCCUGGUUGUUGUGGGGGAUUUUAAGUUCCCUGGUGUUUGCUGGAAGGACCGUUCAGCCAGCCAGCCACAGUCCAGGAGGUUCCUGCCGUGCAUCGGUGAGAACCGCCUCAUGCAGGUGGUGGAGGAGCCGACUGGGAGAGGUGCACUGCUGGAUCUCAUCCUCGCUAGCAAGGAGGGUCUGGUCGAAGCAGGAAAGGUUGAGGGCUGCCUGGGCUGCAGUGACCACGAGAAGGUGGAGUUCAGCAUCUUGGGUGGCAGGAACAGAACAGCAAGUAGAAUUGCAGCCCUGGACUUUAGCAGGGCCAACUUUGGCCUUUUCAAGCAAUUGCUGGGGGAAAUCCCACGGGCAAGACUGCUUGAAGGAAAAGGGGCCCGAGAUAGCUGGGUUGCAUUCAGAGAUUGCUUCUUCCACCUCAGGAUCAGAGCAUCCCCACACGAAGGGAGUCAAGGAAGGGAGCCAGGAGGCCUGCGUGGUUGAACAGGGACCUGUUGGGUAUGCUCAAGCAGAAGAGGAGAGUUUGCAGGUCAUGGAGGCAGGGGCUGGCCACUUGGGAGGAAUAUAAGGCUGCUGUUAGAGGAUGCAGGAAGGCAGCUAGGAUAGCCAAGGCCCCCUAGAAUUACAGCUGGCGAGAGGGGUCAAGGAAAGCAAAAAGAACUUUUUCAAAUACAUAGCAGAUAAAACUAACACCAGAGGCAAUGUAGGCCCACUGAUGAACGGGGUGGGUGCCCUGGUGGCAGAAGAUACAGAGGAGGCAGAAUUCCUGAAUGCCUUCUUUGUCUCUGUCUACUCUGCCGGAGGCCGUCCUGGGGAGCCCUGUACCCCUGAGACCCCGGAUGAAGCCAGGUCAGUGGAGGAGUUUGCUUUAGUCGAUGAGGACUGGGUUAGGGAGCAAUUAAAUAGUCUGGACAUCCAUAAAUCCACGGGUCCGGAUGGGAUGCACACGCGGGUGCUGAGGGAGCCGGCUGAAGUCACUGCUGGACCGCUCUCCGUCAUCUUUGCCAAGUCUUGGGAAACGGGGGAGGUGCCCGAGGAUUGGAGGAAAGCAAAUGUCACUGCAGUCUUCAAAAAGGGCAAGAAGGAGGACCCGGGUAAUUAGAGACCGGUCAGCCUCACCUCUGUCCCUGGGAAAGUAAUGGAACAGCUUCUCCUUGGUGCCAUCUCAAGGCAUCUCAAGGAUAAGAGGGUUAUUACGGGCAGUCAGCAUGGCUUUACCAAGGGUAAGUCGUGCUUGACCAACCUCAUUGACUUUUAUGAGAAUGUGACAGGGUGGAUGGACGAUGGCAGAGCGGUGGACUGGUCUACCUUGACUUCAGUAAAGCCUUUGACACAGUCUCCACAGCAUCCUCACAGCUCAGUUGAGGAGGUGUGGUCUGGACAACAGAGCAGUGAGGUUCAGAAUACUGGGAAUUCCAAGCUUCAAGUUUCCUGUGGAACGUUGCGGGAGACCUCGAUAACGUGGCACUGAGGGAGGUGAUGAAGAGAAACAAUACCUGUUCCUUUUCCGUUUCGAGACGUUAUUUUUUACCUUCCUGGUGCUGUGAGAUGAUUUGCAAUCUUGCGCUAGCAUCUGCCUGGAGGAGAACACGGACGCUUUGGGUGCCUCCUCCAGAAUACUUGCUCUGUGGUUCUGGGGAUGUCCAGGCUUCGAGGGGGGGGGAUAGGGGAGCGUAAAUGUUAUGGGGCCUCCCGGGAUGUCUGCAGGUGUGGGUGACCCGUGGCUGGCACAGGGAUGCCAGGGUUGUCAGUCUUGCCCUGAAUCUCUGUCCCUCUCUUGCAGCACCUGACUGAAUGGAGGAGCAAGUGGACGGGAAGCUCCUGCGCCACACACAGAUCACAUUUAUCGCUCUCGCCCUCAGAGACCCGGAGAUCCAAACCGUUCGCAUGGUGCCUUGAAGCAGCCUGUGCUCAUGCGCUUCUCCAGGGGGAAGGCGGAAUGGCAGUGACUGGCCACGUGGAGCCACAGGGUGCACACUCUGCAGCUGUCAAGCCCAGCUCUGCGUCAGCUCACACCUGCGGUUUUGCGCCGCACACGCGGAUUUGAGUUGUCGCUGGUUGUUGCAGCGUUUGGCUUUGGUGAGGUGUAGGGCAGAGGGUGAAGCUGACCUUGCCUGGGCGGCGCAACUGGCUGGGUGUGCAGAGCUGAGGAGAGCGGGCUGCUGCGGGUGACCCUAAAGCUGGAGAACCGGCCGGCAGCUCCAGAGGCUCCCGCUGCCGGGCAGGGCCGUGCAGGCCAGUGCCCUGGGGCACAGCGACGUGACCUCCGCAAGGAACAAAGAGCAGGUGGAGCAGCGUGCGAAGGAAAAAGGAAGCAGAGGAAGACGGUGAGCCUGCGAGGAAGAGUGUAGCGAGUCGGGCGUGGACUCACGGUGGAGCAGCGUGCAAAGGAAAAGCGAGGAAGGAGGCAGAGUGAUGGAUACAGAGGGUUGGAGCGCACCUGCCGGCCAGGAGGGAUCAGGGAAGAAGACACCGGUGGUGGAACCGCAGGUCAGGAGAGCUCAAGGAGGGAGAAAGGUGACUGUGGCCAUAUGGGUUUUUCUAGCUCACACACCAAUGAAAACAGUUUGGAUAAUAAAAGAAAUGUAUGCAAAACCGAUAAGUAAAGGCAGAGAAUGUUUAUAUGCUGUGUAUGGGAUAGACCUGAAGGUAUAUUUAUUCCUACAACAAAGGAGAAUUCGCAAUGGUAAUUAACUGAGGAUGUGAAUUUCCAGAUUGCAUUGGCAACAUACGCAGGGAACAUAUCAGUUUAUUACCCUCAACAUAAAGUGUGGGCUGAAACUGGUAAUUUACCGUUGUGCAGCAAACGCUGCUGUCAGCAACGACCAGUAAGCGACAAGACUGUAUUUACUGAUGGCUCUGGUCGCUCACGUGAGUUGUAAUGACGUGGCUGAACUCACAUACCCAGUGCUGCAAACACAAGGUAGAGAAAGAGACCAAGGGUCCAACAAGUUCUGGAGCUGACAGCUGUUGGGAUCGCUGUGAGGUGUUCUGUGACAAACCUUUGAAUGUUGGAACUGGCUCGUAUUAUGCAGCUGGCGUACUUAACCGCCUGGAAGGUUCUUUUCUUAAGGAAGAGGACAAUCCUCUUUUGAUGGCUGAAUUGAGAAUGCUAUGGUUUCUAAUAAAUCACAGACAUCAUGGUUUUUAUGCAAUGCACACCCGCUCUCGCACGGCCCUUCCAGGACCUCUUGCGGAAGGCAAUAGGAGGGCCGAUGCACAAGCUGUGCUGCUCACUGUGCCUGAAGCCUUGCAGCAAGCUAAAUGAUCACAUGAAUCCUUUCACCAGAGUGCAAAGGCGUUAAAACGACAAUUUCAAAUGACAGUGGAUCAGGCCAGGAGCGUUCUUAUGUCCUGCCCUGACUGCCAGCAGUCGGCACCCGUGCCGUGCACAGAGGGUGUGAAUGCAGGAGGGAUUGCUGCCAGUGAAGUACGGCCAGCUGGGGUGACGCGUUGUUCUGAAUGGGGUAAAUACGUACGUGUUUCUGUACGCGCUCAUUCCGGAUUUCUCGUUGCUGCUGCACGCUGGUGAAAGGGCACGAGACGUCUGUGACGUUGGUUGACAUGUUCACUGUUUGAGGAGUUCCACGAUAUGUAAAACCAGAGGAAAGCGGAACGCACGCUGGAUUAGAGGAGCGAUCCCCCGAGUGCCCAGCGCGCUGUAAUAGAAGUGCCUGCUGUUUAACACUUUCAAAACAGUGAGAGCGAGUCUGUUUGCCGACUUUCCGGUAUCAUGUUCUGGCGACAAGGAUGGGAUGAUCUGCCUGACCUGCCGUGGUCCCCAGGGUCUCUGGGACCUUGUGCCAGCACCGGGGAGUUCCCGGAAGGGACCACGGAUCCUGGGACCAGCUCGGACGCGGGUGAAGCCCCAUCAGUGAGAUGAGGCGCUUUCACUGUCUGGUUGGGCUGGCACGCUGCCUGCGCGAGACGUGGGCGACACGGCGCGUGGGGUCUGCGCGUUCGCGUCUGCGCGUUUGGGUAAACCGGGGAACUUCAAAAGAAAUAAAAAAUUAAAGAGGAAAAUGAGAAAACUAUAAAUAAAAGAAAACACGAGGGAACAGUAAUUUGGUAAAGGUACCUUUAGUGAUUUUGCUGUUUUUGCCUUAGCGAUUGUAGGAUUGUGUCUUCAGUGAUCUGUUGUUGUUGUUACUUGUGUCUUGGGUGAUUUUAUAGUCCAGUACUUACGGUUCUCCAAUUGUCUGUUACUGUGAUUGUGAAACAGGUGGUGGUACAAUCAACAGGAGGGAUUUGGAAGAAAUUCCCCCCGGUUGUAUUUUGUGACACUGGAAAAGGAUCGUUUGACUCGCUGGGGAACAGCAACCAGGGGAAUCUGAUUGAAUAUUGUAAUUAAUGGUGGCCACUGUAAAUAAUGUUAACAUGCUGCACAGGUCUAGGUGGGUAUACUUUGAGAUGUGUAGUAUAGUACCGCACUACAUGUAAUAUAUAAUAAGAUGUAUAUUUUAAAUCACAUAUUGCUUAUUACAUAAUGUGUAUUACACAAUACAUAAUGUUACAUAUGCAUUGUAUUUAUCCCCGUCAGCUCCAUUUGUUUUGAAAAAGGAUAAUCAGAAGUUGAAACCAGUAAAAGGUUUGUUGAAGAGCAGCUAUUGGUGUAGAGUACACAGAGCACACGGGAUCAGAACUGUCCCGCGGUCGGUCCAGGGUGGCAUCCUGAUGUCCUUACAUCGGGGACAGGCUGCAUUGCUAUGGACGGUGCAUUUCAUACGGGAUUAGACGCGCUGUGCCUAAAGCUGUAAAUACGCCAAAACCUUCUGAGAUUAAACAGGAUCGUGAGGAGUCUCCCACUGAGUUUUUACACCGUCUUAAACCGACAGCUCAGAAAUAUAUUAAUAUAGGUCCUGACCUGGAGAACAGAGAAACAGAAUUCUUAGUUGACUGGGAGCUCAUUAUUCUGUGUUAAACACUGUGCAGGGAAUAUUAAGUAGCGAUUCUGUAACAGUUAUGGGUGCCACAAAAACUGCAAAACACGGCCCUUUAACCCGCUGCUUAGAAUGUUUGUGUGUGGAGUCUGGUACUUACUGAUUGUGUGCCGUGUGUCUUCUCUUGUGCACAACGAAUGGUUGACAAAAGCUUUAGUGGUGCAGUGGCUGUGCAGUUACACGCUGCUGUGGCUGCAGUUGUUGAACAAGGGGAGAUGUGGCCGGGUUGUGACAUCAGUUGUGAGAAACUGCAAGAGUCACAGCGUGAGAACAAGCGCUGGUGGAACAACACAAGCAGCAAGGACUGUGUGGGACGUGAACCAUCAGGGACAGAGGGAUUGAUACGGGAUUGGUACAUCAGGGACAGGGAUUGAUACGGGAUCGGUACAUCAGGGACAGGGAUUGAUACGGGAUCGGUACAUCAGGGACAGGGAUUGAUACGGGAUCGGUACAUCAGGGACAGGGAUUGAUACGGGAUCGGUACAUCAGGGACAGGGAUUGAUAAGGGAUCAGUACAUCAGGGACAGGGAUUGAUAAGGGAUCGGUACAUCAGGGACAGGGAUUGAUACGGGAUUGGGACAUCAGGGACAGGGAUUGAUACGGGAUUGGUACAUCAGGGACAGGGAUUGAUACGGGAUUGGUACAUCAGGGACAGGGAUUGAUACGGGAUCGGUACAUCAGGGACAGGGAUUGAUACGGGAUCGGUACAUCAGGGACAGGGAUUGAUAAGGGAUCGGUACAUCAGGGACAGGGAUUGAUAAGGGAUCGGUACAUCAGGGACAGAGGGAUUGAUACGGGAUCGGUACAUCAGGGACAGGGAUUGAUACGGGAUUGGGACAUCAGGGACAGGGAUUGAUACGGGAUUGGUACAUCAGGGACAGGGAUUGAUACGGGAUUGGUACAUCAGGGACAGGGGGAUUGAUACGGGAUCGGUACAUCAGGGACAGGGAUUGAUACGGGAUUGGGACAUCAGGGACAGGGAUUGAUACGGGAUCGGUACAUCAGGGACAGGGAUUGAUACGGGAUUGGUACAUCAGGGACAGGGGGAUUGAUACGGGAUCGGUACAUCAGGGACAGGGAUUGAUACGGGAUUGGUACAUCAGGGACAGGGAUUGAUACGGGAUUGGGACAUCAGGGACAGGGGGAUUGAUACGGGAUUGGUACAUCAGGGACAGGGAUUGAUACGGGAUCGGUACAUCAGGGACAGGGAUUGAUACGGGAUUGGUACAUCAGGGACAGGGAUUGAUACGGGAUCGGUACAUCAGGGACAGGGAUUGAUACGGGAUUGGGACAUCAGGGACAGGGAUUGAUACGGGAUUGGGACAUCAGGGACAGGGGGAUUGAUACGGGAUCGGUACAUCAGGGACAGGGACUGAUACGGGAUCGGUACAUCAGGGACAGGGAUUGAUACGGGAUUGGUACAUCAGGGACAAAGGGAUUGAUAAACAGGGACAGGGGUUGAUACGGGAUUGGUACAUGAGGGACAGAGGUUCGUGAUGUUUCAAAUGCAAACCUGAGUUUGUAUUAAAUGUCUCUUCGCAUCUCAAAGAGUGUCUGUGCCUCACUUGCUACACCCCUUUAUCUGUUUCCCAAAUUGCGAUUUAAACUGUAUUUACCAUUGUAAAAAUAAAGCUUUCCCCCCUUAAUUUUUGUCACAUAUUGUAAUUAGAAUUAAUAGAGAUAUUGAAGCCCGUCCUAGCUGAACUGGAGAAAAGACAGCAGCCAUGUGUAUUUUUAAAUAAAGAUUAAAUCAAGUCUGCUA